Molecule: ribosomal RNA, 496 nt
Filed under: uncultured bacterium
Lineage: Bacteria
Description: partial 16S ribosomal RNA
Rfam family: Bacterial small subunit ribosomal RNA
Source: RNAcentral
GAUGAACGCUGGCGGCGUGCCUAAUACAUGCAAGUCGAGCGAACAGACGAGGAGCUUGCUCCUCUGACGUUAGCGGCGGACGGGUGAGUAACACGUGGAUAACCUACCUAUAAGACUGGGAUAACUUCGGGAAACCGGAGCUAAUACCGGAUAAUAUAUUGAACCGCAUGGUUCAAUAGUGAAAGACGGUUUUGCUGUCACUUAUAGAUGGAUCCGCGCCGCAUUAGCUAGUUGGUAAGGUAACGGCUUACCAAGGCGACGAUGCGUAGCCGACCUGAGAGGGUGAUCGGCCACACUGGAACUGAGACACGGUCCAGACUCCUACGGGAGGCAGCAGUAGGGAAUCUUCCGCAAUGGGCGAAAGCAUGACGGAGCAACGCCGCGUGAGUGAUGAAGGUCUUCGGAUCGUAAAACUCUGUUAUUAGGGAAGAACAAAUGUGUAAGUAACGAUGCACGUCUUGACGGUACCUAAUCAGAAAGCCACGGCUAACUACGU